RNAcentral lists this ribosomal RNA (301 nucleotides) under uncultured bacterium. RNAcentral describes it as "partial 16S ribosomal RNA". It matches the Rfam family "Bacterial small subunit ribosomal RNA", at positions 509 to 807 of the family's 1533-position model. The record is from RNAcentral.
CAGUCGCCGCGGGAAUACGUAGGGUGCAAGCGUUAAUCGGAAUUACUGGGCGUAAAGCGUGCGCAGGCGGUUCUAUAAGACAGAUGUGAAAUCCCCGGGCUCAACCUGGGAACUGCAUUUGUGACUGUAGAGCUGGAGUACGGCAGAGGGGGAUGGAAUUCCGCGUGUAGCAGUGAAAUGCGUAGAUAUGCGGAGGAACACCGAUGGCGAAGGCAAUCCCCUGGGCCUGUACUGACGCUCAUGCACGAAAGCGUGGGGAGCAAACAGGAUUAGAUACCCGUGUAGUCCCUGUCUCUUAUAC